RNAcentral lists this ribosomal RNA (830 nucleotides) under uncultured Bacteroidota bacterium. Its description in RNAcentral is "bacterial SSU rRNA". It matches the Rfam family "Bacterial small subunit ribosomal RNA", at positions 60 to 886 of the family's 1533-position model. Lineage: Bacteria; Pseudomonadati; Bacteroidota. The record is from RNAcentral.
AGUCGAGGGGUACAUUGGUGCUUGCACCAGAUGACGACCGGCGCACGGGUGCGUAACGCGUAUAGAACCUACCUUUUACAGGGGAAUAGCCUUUAGAAAUGAAGAUUAAUGCCCCAUAGUAUUACGACUUGGCAUCAAGUUGUAUUUAAAGAUUUAUCGGCAAAAGAUGAGUAUGCGUCCCAUUAGCUAGUUGGUGAAGUAACGGUUCACCAAGGCAACGAUGGGUAGGGGUCCUGAGAGGGAGAUCCCCCACACUGGUACUGAGACACGGACCAGACUCCUACGGGAGGCAGCAGUGAGGAAUAUUGGACAAUGGGCGAGAGCCUGAUCCAGCCAUGCCGCGUGCAGGAAGACUGCCCUAUGGGUUGUAAACUGCUUUUAUACAGGAAGAAUAAGCCUUACGUGUAAGGUGAUGACGGUACUGUAAGAAUAAGGACCGGCUAACUCCGUGCCAGCAGCCGCGGUAAUACGGAGGGUCCGAGCGUUAUCCGGAAUUAUUGGGUUUAAAGGGUCCGUAGGCGGAUGAUUAAGUCAGGGGUGAAAGUUUGCAGCUCAACUGUAAAAUUGCCUUUGAUACUGGUCAUCUUGAGUUGUAUUGAAGUAGGCGGAAUAUGUAGUGUAGCGGUGAAAUGCAUAGAUAUUACAUAGAACACCAAUUGCGAAGGCAGCUUACUAAGUACUAACUGACGCUGAUGGACGAAAGCGUGGGUAGCGAACAGGAUUAGAUACCCUGGUAGUCCACGCCGUAAACGAUGGAUACUAGCUGUUCGGGGCCUUGAGCUCUGAGCGGCUAAGCGAAAGUGAUAAGUAUCCCACCUGGGGAGUACGUU